RNAcentral lists this ribosomal RNA (197 nucleotides) under uncultured bacterium. Its description in RNAcentral is "partial 16S ribosomal RNA". It matches the Rfam family "Bacterial small subunit ribosomal RNA", at positions 326 to 539 of the family's 1533-position model. The record is from RNAcentral.
ACGCUCGACACCUACGGGGCAGCAGUGGGGAAUAUUGCACAAUGGGGGAAACCCUGAUGCAGCGACGCCGCGUGAGCGAAGAAGUAUUUCGGUAUGUAAAGCUCUAUCAGCAGGAAAGAAGAAAGACGGUAACUGACUAAGAAGCCCCGGCUAACUACGUGCUAGCAGCCGCGGUAAUCUGAGCGGGCUGGCAAGGC